CGUACCGGCGAAGAACCGCCCAAGACAAUCCAGUAGUGCUAAGUAUCUGAAUCCCUUUGAUGGAUCCCUUCGGGGUGAAGCGUUGGGCCUAGCGUACGACCCCGUGCUGGUGCGUUUAGCGUAUUAACAGGUGUGACGCAGGAAGGUAGCCGAGCCGGGCGAUGGUUGUCCCGGUCUAAGGAUGUAGGGCGAACGAUAGGCAAAUCCGUCGUUCAUAUAGCCUGAGAUCUGAUGGGUAGACGCAAGUCGAAAUCGGUGAUCCUAUGCUGCCAAGAAAAGCAUCGACGCGAGGUUCUAGCUGCCCGUACCCCAAACCGACUCAGGUGGUCAGGUAGAGAAUACUAAGGAGAUCGAGAGAAUCGUGGUUAAGGAACUCGGCAAAAUGCCCCCGUAACUUCGGGAGAAGGGGGGCCUGAGGCGUGAACGGACUUGCUCCGGGAGCGUUCGAUGGCCGCAGAGACCAGUGGGAAGCGACUGUUUACUAAAAACACAGGUCCGUGCUAAGUCGCAAGACGAUGUAUACGGACUGACGCCUGCCCGGUGCUGGA
RNAcentral lists this ribosomal RNA (548 nucleotides) under Rathayibacter sp. AY1A3. Its description in RNAcentral is "bacterial LSU rRNA". It matches the Rfam family "Bacterial large subunit ribosomal RNA", at positions 1408 to 1873 of the family's 2925-position model. Lineage: Bacteria; Bacillati; Actinomycetota; Actinomycetes; Micrococcales; Microbacteriaceae. The record is from RNAcentral.